This 465-nucleotide ribosomal RNA is filed under the name Vreelandella stevensii. RNAcentral describes it as "partial 16S ribosomal RNA". It matches the Rfam family "Bacterial small subunit ribosomal RNA", at positions 338 to 795 of the family's 1533-position model. The record is from RNAcentral. Lineage: Bacteria; Pseudomonadati; Pseudomonadota; Gammaproteobacteria; Oceanospirillales; Halomonadaceae.
CCUACGGGAGGCUGCAGUGGGGAAUAUUGGACAAUGGGGGCAACCCUGAUCCAGCCAUGCCGCGUGUGUGAAGAAGGCCCUCGGGUUGUAAAGCACUUUCAGUGAGGAAGAACGCCUGGUGGUUAAUACCCAUCAGGAAAGACAUCACUCACAGAAGAAGCACCGGCUAACUCCGUGCCAGCAGCCGCGGUAAUACGGAGGGUGCGAGCGUUAAUCGGAAUUACUGGGCGUAAAGCGCGCGUAGGUGGCUUGAUAAGCCGGUUGUGAAAGCCCCGGGCUCAACCUGGGAACGGCAUCCGGAACUGUCAAGCUAGAGUGCAGGAGAGGAAGGUAGAAUUCCCGGUGUAGCGGUGAAAUGCGUAGAGAUCGGGAGGAAUACCAGUGGCGAAGGCGGCCUUCUGGACUGACACUGACACUGAGGUGCGAAAGCGUGGGUAGCAAACGGGAUUAGAUACCCCGGUAGUC